CGCACAUUGCGCCCCUUGGCAUUCCGAGGGGCAUGCCCGUUCGAGCGUCAUUAAAUCCAAUCAAGCCUGGCUUGGUAUUGGGCGUCGGGACCGUCCCGCGCCUCAAUUUCGUCGGCUGACCGUUGGCCCAAUAACUAUCGUGUUGUGACCUUUGUAUUUCACGAUAUGAGGGGCGGACCAUGCCGUUAAACAUAUUCAAUUACGAUUGAUUAAGAUUGACCUCGGAUCGGGUAGGAAUACCCGCUGAACUUAA
Molecule: unclassified non-coding RNA, 253 nt
Filed under: Capnodiales sp.
Lineage: Eukaryota; Fungi; Ascomycota; Dothideomycetes; Capnodiales
Description: partial contains 5.8S ribosomal RNA, internal transcribed spacer 2, and large subunit ribosomal RNA
Source: RNAcentral